CUGCAGCCCGAGUGGUGAUCGAUUUUAUUGAGCCUAAAGCGUCCGUAGCCGGACUAGUAAACCCUUGGGUAAAUUGGGCAGCUUAACUGUCCAAAUUCCGAGGGGACUGCUAGUCUUGGGACCGGGAGAGGUCAGAGGUACUCAAGGGGUAGGGGCUAAAUCCUGUAAUCCUUUGGGGACCACCAGUGGCGAAGGCGUCUGACUAGAACGGAUCCGACGGUAAGGGACGAAACCCUGGGGCGCGAACCGGAUUAGAUACCCGCUAGUCC
RNAcentral lists this ribosomal RNA (269 nucleotides) under uncultured archaeon. RNAcentral describes it as "partial 16S ribosomal RNA". It matches the Rfam family "Archaeal small subunit ribosomal RNA", at positions 477 to 747 of the family's 1478-position model. The record is from RNAcentral.